RNAcentral lists this ribosomal RNA (507 nucleotides) under Locusta migratoria manilensis (Oriental migratory locust). Its description in RNAcentral is "partial 16S ribosomal RNA". It matches the Rfam family "Bacterial large subunit ribosomal RNA", at positions 1819 to 2597 of the family's 2925-position model. Lineage: Eukaryota; Metazoa; Arthropoda; Insecta; Orthoptera; Acrididae. The record is from RNAcentral.
GUCUUCUUGAUAAUAUUUUGAAGUCUUACCUGCUCACUGAUUAAUUUAAAGGGCCGCGGUAUUAUGACCGUGCAAAGGUAGCAUAAUCAUUAGUUUCUUAAUUGGGGACUGGAAUGAAUGGUUUGACGAGAAAUUGACUGUCUCUUAAUAAUUUUUAGAAUUUAACUUUUAAGUUAAAAGGCUUAAAUAUUUCUUGAGGACGAGAAGACCCUAUAGAGCUUUACAUUUAUAAAUUAAUUUUUAUUAUAUAGUUUAUUUUUUAAUGUUAAUUUUUAUUGUUUUGUUGGGGUGACAUGAAGAAUAAUUAAACUCUUCAUUAUAAAAUCAUUAAUUUAUGUUUAUUUGAUCCAUAAUUUGUGAUUAUAAGAUUAAGUUACCUUAGGGAUAACAGCGUAAUCAUUUUUUAGAGUUCUUAUCGGUAAAAUGGAUUGCGACCUCGAUGUUGGAUUAAGAUUAAUUAUGGGUGUAGUAGCUCAAUAAUUAGGUCUGUUCGACCUUUAAAUUCUU